AAUUUUGCAUAAAUAUCUUGGUUGUUGAAUUUGCAAGAGACUUUUUUUACCAAAAUAAUACAUAUAUUCAGAGGUUUUUGGACGGUUAUAUCUCUUGUCCUAAAUAUAAGCAAAAUUAUGAGAGAUAUCGUUAUCCAAUGAUAUAGGCAUUGUCUGAAUGCCCUAUUAAUAGAACCAAGCUGCAAUUCAAGUCGUGAUGCAAUUUAAAUUGCAAGCAGUUGAGUUAUAAUAGGAGUUUAAUCUCCACUAUUUGGAUAGAAAAUUGAGAGGAGACGGUGAAGAGAGUGGGGAGAGGAGAAUGAAGAAGACGAACGA
RNAcentral lists this long non-coding RNA (315 nucleotides) under Elaeis guineensis (African oil palm). Its description in RNAcentral is "long non-coding RNA (EGUI_LNC023818)". Lineage: Eukaryota; Viridiplantae; Streptophyta; Magnoliopsida; Arecales; Arecaceae. The record is from RNAcentral.